GCUUUGCGUGACCGCGGCAGGUUGGUCCUGGAGCAGAUAAGCUCAGAAUAUUUAGGCGAAAGCUAGAGGAGGGGGGGAGCGCGGGGCAGGAGGAGUACCUCGGCCAAGAAAAUUAUGCAUGCGUUAGGGAAGCUCUGAGAGAAUGGCUGUGGAAGCUCUUCACUGUGGUUUGAAUCCACGGGGCAUUGAUCACCCUGCCCAUGCUGAAGGUAUUAAACUGCAAAUUGAAGGUGAAGGUGUGGAAUCUCAAUCCAUUAAAAACACAAAUUUCCAGAAGGUGCCUGACCAGAAAGGAACCCCCAAGCGACUGCAGGCAGAAUCUGAGACAGCUAAGUCAGCUACAGUGAAGCUGUCUAAACCGGUGGCUCUAUGGACCCAGCAGGAUGUCUGCAAGUGGUUGAAGAAACAUUGUCCGAAUCAGUAUCAGAUCUACAGUGAGUCAUUCAAACAGCAUGACAUAACUGGGCGAGCCCUGCUGAGACUUACUGACAAAAAGCUUGAGCGAAUGGGGAUUGCCCAGGAGAACCUCCGGCAGCACAUCUUACAACAGGUGCUCCAGCUGAAGGUGCGAGAAGAAGUCAGAAAUCUACAGUUACUCACACAAGGAUAUUCAGGAAUAUGGAGAUAUCCCUGACUCCUCCAAAAGAAUGGCCAAGAUCAUGCCUAAUUAACUCCAUGUCCUGGGAAAGCCCCGCUCUAAUGGAGAUGACAUCUUCUCCAGUGCUCUAUAGGGUGGAGAAGAUGAAGAAAUCUGCACACAGCCCCCAUGAAGAUUCCAGUGUUGUGGCUGGGAAUCUCUGUCUCCCUUUAUGCUGGCUACAUGAAAAAAGUGUGUUUUUGCUUACAGAGACCUGGUGGCCAUUAGAAGCAUCAGCCGAGGGUUCUCCAUAAACACGGUUAGCCUUCCAAGCUGCUGUCCUGCCAGUUGAUAUGAACAUGGCCUGUUCCUCACAGAAAGACUAACCCAUGGCACUGCCAGAAGAUAUCCUUGGAUCAUGGACAGAUUAACUGGAUUAACUGGAAAAAAAACACCCAUUCAGUCAAGAUUAUGGGCUUUGGAAAAAUCUUACUUUGCUGUGGAUUUAAAAUGAGGUGCAUAAUAUAGUGCCAACUCGUUCCAAGUGGUCAUGGGCAGACCAUUAGCUGGAAAAUUGCUUCCAGUUUUCAUCACUGUGCAUAACUCAAGUUCCCUUUGGGGAGCUGUCUGUGCCCUUCACUAGAAGUCCUGUUUUAGCAUGGCAACUACUGGAUUAUUUUAUUAUGUGUGCAGAUGGCAUGAUGUUUUAGAAAAAAAAAAUUACAGCAGUUCUGCAAUCUCAGUGGAAGUGUUCACAAUAUUAUGCCCUGGUAGGAAUGUAAACAUGUCUCGAUUAUGUUAGUUAUGACGUCUAAAGGUAUUCCGUCCAACUCUUAAGCACUUUAUAUGAGAACACUACACCAAGAUGAAUCAGCACGUUCAGCACAUGUGAGAAAUCAAGUAUUUUUAUUUUUAUAAAUCUUGGUGGGUUUUUUUUUUUCUGGCUCAGACUGUCCAAGACAAACUCCACUACUAGCAUAACCCCAGUUGUUUGUGGUAGGUUGAUGUAAAUAUGGCCACAAUACUGUUAGACUUCACCUCCGGAUACUUUACUGAACAACUGAUUUACUUGUAGUGCCAAAGGGAAGCCCUAGGGGGUCUAGUGAUUGUGUUAACUUAGCUUGCUUCUUUGUUCGCAGGCACAAUUGACCACAUGCACAUACAGGCACUCAAAUACAGGAGGCUUCUAUUUGGCUAAUGUAGAUAUUCCCUUAUUCUGUAGAAGAGUUCCUCCAAAGGAAAAAAAGGGGAUGGUAUUCUUUUAAUCAAAGACCAUGGUAGAUGGAUGGUUAGGGCAACAGAAUGCAAUUCUUUUGUGUGGUCUGACUUUAACACUUCAGAAAAACAUCCUAAGUCAGGUUGAAAUCGCCAUUCUUUCAAGAGAGAAACAUCAAGUGACCCUACUAUGUGCCUAGAGAAGAAAAAGUGUCAAGUCCUAUACUAAGUUCCCUUACUUAGUGUAGAACCUACCAGUCCCGUGUUAAUCCUUUCUGGGAUUAUACCUGUGACUAAUUGUUUUUUGUUUUUUGGUUUGUUUUUUUUUUUUAACUACGUCUUACAACAAAGCACAGUCCUGGGAAACCAGUCAACUUAAUUAUUGCUUGUCUUUGAGCAUUAGAGACAUGUUCAUGUUGACUUGCUACAUAACAGUGUAGCAUGUUUUUUCCUGAAAAUAUCAAGUUGACUGAAUGGAAAGCUCAGCAAAGUAUGUUCUGUGUGCCCACUGUCCCAACCUGGGACUGACGGGCAUCAGAGGCUUUGCUUUAAAAUAUAGUGUAACCACUUCUGGAAGACUUCCAAUGCAAGCAAGCUUGGUGUUUUAGGGUAUCUCCAGAUACAUAAGCAUUGUCUGCCUCCACUCAGGGUCUCAGGAAAUACACAGCCCAUUAGAAACCACCCCUGCCUGAAAUUUGGAAACCUGACAGGGGAAGGGAGGAAGGUCCAAAUGAGUCAGCAGCAGGAUGACUCACCACAAGCCUGGCAGGCUUCAGAGCCAGAGAAGGGGGCUUCCAACAAGGAACUCAGAUAAGUUUCAGUCGCCACCAAAAUCUGGCCCUUCGACAGGUCAGCACCAGGACUGCCAGGCCCUCUGCAGACCGUAAUUCUCCUCACAUCUAUAAUUAGGAGACCAAACUCCGGCUGCCAACACCCUUGGACACAAUAUUCCCGUCUCUACUGCCCAUCUCAUGUGGUUCAGUUCUAAUAGCAGGUCUUCUUCUUCCUUUCAUUCCUUCCUUUAUUCAGCAAGCAUUUGUUGAGCAUCUAUUGUGUGCCAAGCAUUGUGCUUGGGCAACAACAGUCCACAAAGCAGACUCCCCACCUGCCCUUAGGAAACUGUAUCUCCUCCUUCCAAACAUUAUCACUACCCCCACCUUUUCCACAAUGAAUACUUAAUUCAGACAGCAUUCUCCAUUCUGCCAGAGUAACCUAGGAAGAAGAACAUGGCAGCAGACGGAUCCUCAGGGAGCAGACAGCAGACUGAGAGAUAGUAAACCGCAUCAGACCACAUAUUUGCACCUUUCAGUUACAGCCAACUCUUUGAGGGCCCAGACUGAGCUGGUUGGAGCUCCCCAAAGCAGCAUUCAAUUGCUUUUCCUUGAUAUCCACCCUGGCCACCUAUGUUCCCUUUCUUUAUACAGGCACAACCAUUCACCUCUACGCUGGAUUAUCUAACACUCCAGUUCUAUAACUAAUCCAGGGGACACACAGUUGAGUCUGAUGAAGCCUAAGAACUGCCAUGUGCUGAGAUAUUGUAACUGGGAAUUAAGAUUUAGCCAAGGACAUCGUGAGGCUACUGCUGACUCUCUUGGAAAACUGGACAUGCUUUGUAGUGCAGAUGUUCACUAAAUGAUGGUGGUUCAUUGUUACUUACUUUGACCUUUGCAAAAUAUUCUGAACAAUUCAAUAAGUAGAGUUUCCUAGUUUGUUUGUUUUGUUAAGUCAAAGGAGUGCUGUAAAAUUAUUGAAAGAUGAUGGGUGAAGAGGGACCUAGGAGAAGGCAAAAUGAGGACCAUUAAAGAGCCCCGUUGAAGACUGUAUCUCUAAAAAUGCCUUAAUGCCUGGCACAUACUCCAUGUCUGCAUACGAACUACUACUCUUUUCCAAACUGUCAACCUCUGUUUGAAAUUAUUUGGGGGGAUAGUUUUGGAAGCAUGGUGGCAUAAAAUCUGAGCAGUCAAGAGCUAAACCAGCAAAAAAGAGGAAUGACUUCAUUAGCAGGCUUUGGCUUCUUUAUUACCUGGUGGUCCCCUGUGAUCUCCCAUGGUUACCUUCAACUGUGCUGUACUUUCUUCCCAAGAUGCAUGUAUGGAAUGUUACCUCCUAGAAAUCCAGAAAUGGCUGUGGUGAGUUUUGUUUAGUCGGAAGCAAGAGGUGGGGAAGUAAAGGAUACAUAUUUUAUGUCUAAGGACUGUAAGCUGUUGAUGCUUGACUUUUCCUUUUACCUACACCUGUGCUACACCUUUAUUAAAAGGCUGACACCCGGACUUGUGCAGGAAAGGCACUCUUGGGAAUGAACAGAAAUCAGAAAUGAAUAAUUAUGAGACUUUCUUUCUGUGGUGCCAAGGGAAUUCGCUUAUUUCCACUCCAGAACUGAAUAGGCAGAGCAUUGCCAGUCCUGCUAGUGUGAAAAGCAAAUCACUUCAGUAGUUUGAGACAUACCUAGGGGAAGAGAGAUCCUAUCAACUUUCUUUGUGGGUAGUGGCGUACCUUCAAAUCCCUGCUCAGGCUCUGUGAGGUGUGCACUCGCAGAUUUCACUUCUACCUCCGGAAUCCUGGCAAACAAGCCAGGAAUCUCUCCAGAGUCACUUCGCAGUUGCUCAGAUAGAGGCCAACAGUCCUUAGUCCUGAGGAAAUUCUGUCAUUUUUAACAUUCAAGGAGAAAAGGAGUAUCAGCUGUACCUCAGAAUAUCAACUAAGGCUAAAAACCUCUAAUGGAUCCCCCUUGUUACUUGCAAAAGCUUUCUUUGUCUGCAAAUGUCACAUAAUUGAUUUUAGAUAGGAACAACAAAAGUCUCAAGGAAGUGAAGUUUUUAAGACCCCCCUUAGCACUUUACUUUCACCAAAACCUCCUCUUUCCAGUACAUUAGCAGUUUUGUUCUUUGUGAUGUUUUCCUCUACAUUCUUUAGAAUAAUUUUAUUACUUGACAACUAGACUUGUCAAUCGCCUUAGACUCUUUUUAAAAAUCUAAUCUUUUGAAAAUGACACAAAUUCCUUUAUUGCUUUAAGGCUGUUUUUAUUCACCCCUCCCACAGCCCCCUCCGCUGCACUUUUUUGUUUUUGGGUUUUUUUUUUUUCUUUCAUCUCUCUUUUAACAUGAUGCUGUAGGUUGAUUUCAAGAAUUCUAUAAAGAACUCAACAAAAAACGUAGUCGUUACCUUUUUUCCCCAUUCCUAAUAUUUCUUCUUAAGCUUGAUCUUGGUGAAAACUUGUUGCCCAAAAAGCAGUGAGGUAGGGAUUAAUAACGCUGACCAGUCAUCUGGAAGAUUAAUCCCAAUGCAGCCCUGAGAUCAGGAAGGAGGACAGGCCAGGAGAUGUUUCUACUCUGGGCACCAUUAAGGACUCUUUUCCAAAGGCAGAUCCUGCUCCUUAGAUCUGAAUCUAAUCCUGAAUCCAGAAAAUUGUCCUAUGAAUUCUGGUUUAUCAACGCACAUGAUUCCUGGCACCAUUGCAUAGCUUCAGGGUAAAAGAGAGCCGUGUUGCCAUUAUUUUGCUAUGGUGAUUUUGGGGAAGACAGAGAGCAUUCUUUUGAAAGCAGGAAACUUGAGGAAAAGUUGGCCAAGUGCACAGGAAAGUUCUACCACACCUUAAUAUAAAGAACAAAAUAGAUGCUACUCAUCUGGGGAAUAUAGCUAAAGGGACAGUAACAGUACUGACAGCCUUCUGGCCAUCACCUUAGCUCCACAGGGAAAAUUCCGGGUAAGAGCAAGCACUGUUUCUAAAAUCUAAAUUUUUUAGGGUGGAAUUUACCAGCACCAAAUGUAAAAGGGAAGUGCCAUCAGGCCUAGGGCUGGUUUUAUACUUCCUGCCCAACGGCAAAAUGACUGAGACAUGACUUCUAUGGAACAGCAGAAAAUGGAUGCCAAAGAUAUCAUAAAACUGAAGUUCAAUUUGCCACGUAAGGCUAUUUAAAAACUCUGAUGCACUCCAAGAAUUCUUCCUUUAGAGCUUUCCUCCUACCAUUAUAUCAAGCACAAGAAUACACCAACAGCACAUACUUACUGUAAUGUAAAAGUAACCAUAUGACUUGUGUUGAAUUACCAUUGGCUGGUUGACAUGAUAUUAAUAAGUGUCAUAGAUAUUUAGACAUUAUUUCUGAUCGUACAAAAUUCUUUUCAUAAUUUGGAGCCAAUGGUUUGGGAGGUUUUUUGUUUGUUUGUUUAGUUAUUUGUUGUGUUGUUGUUUUCCAAACCUCAGAUAUUUUGAGGAGCCUUAGAAAGGCUCUUAAGCCCUGGCCUUUUUGCCUCAUGUGCAGAGUAUUAAGAACAGCCCUGCUGAUGUGAACCUCAAGGAAGGAGGCUAUUAAAUUAAUCCAACACUGGAGAUACUAAUACCUCAAACAAUUAAAACACUGAAGACUCUGCUGGUCGCCUUCCACAUUGUUUACAGCCCUUUUAAAUUCAGUCAUUUGGAUCAAGAGAAAUAAACGGUUGGUUUCACGGGGUUUUUGCCAGAUUAGCACAGACACAGCUACCAAAUGUGGAGGUCUAGACUGAGUGGAUGCAUGAGAGCAAACAGAUCUGUUUUAUAUGAUUGCACUUAAUCACCACCACCGCCCAAAUUCUGUAAAAGUAUAUUCAAAUACUUAAUGCUAAAAAAAAAACUUCAAAACAGGAGACUCUUCCUGGAUCAUGCUUUCACUUAGGGUAGGAUAACUGAUCUUGAAGAUAACCUUGUAGAAAAAUUGCUGGCUGGAAUGCCCCAAGCACCUGGGGAUUGGUGCUGUCCUAUUCCACAGACUGAUCAUGGUCUUCUCCCAUCUCCUCAGAGGAGUUAGCCUGGCCUCUAAAAUAGCACAAAUGCCAUGAAAAUAUCUUUCUAAGCCAUAUAGAGACUUCCUAUCCAAGUAUAAUUCCAAAAAUAUGAUUUGAGUUUGAGCAUGCCUGUGGUCCUUCAUUCUAUGAUCCCUAAAUCAGUUCUACUUCUCUCUCUCUCUCUCUCUCUCUCUCUCUCUCUCUCUCUCUCUCUCUCCUCUUUCUUUCUUUCUCUUUCCCUCUCCCCCCAGUAUUUUUUUUUAACCACAAUUAAGUGCAUUUAGCGUGUUUACACUGGGAACUGCCUGCUGGCUCUGUGUCUACUUUUGACAAUGCCUAUGUCCAGAUACCAUACAGUGCAUUUGAGAGAGGACUAAGGUUAUGUUUCCCCACAUACCAGCUGCUGCAGAGGUUUCGAAGUGCCUGACCCAGUUCUUUUUCACAUCAAAAAGGCCUUCGGUUACAGAUGGCAACCUCAAAGAUGAAUGUAAAGUGGGGGAGGAAAUUCAUGUUUGAAUGCUGAAACACUUGUGUUUUUUAUUUUUAUUCAAUACCCACCUCAGAUCACCAGAAAGGGAAGCCUCUUUGGUGGGUGUUGGCCCCCACUGCGGGUAAAAGGGGUUCUAUUUGCUUAAACUCAUACUCGUAGGCAAUUUUAGGGCUCUCUGGGGCUCUGAAUGGUUUCUCCACCACUACCUUUCUUCCACCAAUAGAAAGAUGCUGUCCUUACAAGGCCAUGUCUGAGAAGACCAUGUUUUAACUAGUAAAAGAAGCUCACAUUGCAGAGAGUUGAGUAAUACUAGGCUCUUGACUUUGUACUGUGUGUCGCAGUCAUGAUUGGGACAGAAGGAACCAGUCUGCUGAAAAGCCAAGCCAGCACAAAUAUUUGGAAACAAAUUCCACUGAAACUCUUGUAUCAUUAAAUCAUACUACUGUAGUUUCAGUUAAUGUAAUUAUUUAAUAUAAUUAGGCACUAAAUUAAAUAGCUUUGCACAAAAUUUUAGAAAAGCUCAAUCUUGUAACAAAAUUUAAUAUUAACAGUAAAAAGCACCUGAGAAAAGAAAAUAUCGAUCUGUUGUGGUUUAUAUACUUGAGUUAUUCUUAGAACUUUGUGGAGAUUGACACUGCUCUGAUAAAAAGGAAGAAAAUGUUUUAAAUUCAAGAAUGCUAGACUAAUAGAAAUCGCCCAGUCUCUCUGGGCAACUGCUCUUCAGUAUGGGGCGCUCUCUGUCCCUCCUUAGCAGAUGGGGUUGUUUGGAGGCUAAAAUGAGCUAAGGGAAGAAGCUAUCCUGUGCCUCCAAUAUCCCUUGUGUGUAAUUAGAGUGCUGAUCUGUGUUGCAGGCUUUAUUCAAUGAUUCCUUUCCCUUACUUGAGGCUUUCUCCAUGGAGCUGUUAUUUCUGAGCCUCCAUUCUGGGAUUUACAAAGGAAACAGAAUGAUGAAGAAGUAACAAUCAGCAUUUUACACACACACACACACACACACACACGCACUUUUUCUAAUAUGUGAGGUUAGUCUGCAGAGUCCACAGCCCAGGUGUCCAUUUAUUUCCACUUCUUCACCUCCCAAAGAUUUAGAGCUCCAUGUCCUACCAAGGUGAAGACUGCCAAUCCCAGGUUGGAGAAGACCCAUCAGAGUGUGGAGGUGCCAAACUGAGAGGCACGGGAAGCAGACAGCCACAUCAAACUUUCUGGAUGAACUACUGCAUAUUGGUGUUUGUUCUAGGAAAGAAAGAGGAAGAAAAAUUACACAAUGUGAAUUGAACAUAAGAGCAGUGUUCUUUAUAGAGGAUGAGAAGGGAGCAUGGGGGAGAAUCUGAUUCCUUCACAAACACUAACAAACAUGGCUAAAAAGCACAUGUCAGAACACAGAAGCCUAGGUAGAUGGUCAACAUUUUUAUAACUUCCUUAAGUGAGUAGUUAAACCAGCAAUCUGAAUUCUGUUGGUCUCCCAAGAGUGUUUAAUUACAUAAGUAUUACCCAUACUCAUUUCCCACAACUGUUGGGUCUUUCUUUCUUUCUUUCUUUCUUUCUUUCUUUCUUUCUUUCUUUCUUUCCUUCCUUCCUUCCUUUCUUUCUUUCUUUCUUUCUUUCUUUCUUUCUUUCUUUCUUUCUUUCUUUCUCUUUUUCUCUCUUUCUUUCUCUCUUUCUUUCUUUCUUUCUUUCCUCUCUAUGCAUCCUAGAAAAACUCCCACGACUAGACUUAGCGGGAGGCAGUCAAGUUAUGUGGUAAAACAAGAGUGCCUUUUCUGUUGGAUGUCCACUUUAGUUUCCUGCCUUCCCAGGGCAUAAGAUGUUUAGAAACUUUUUUUCUCUAAACAUAAGAAUUAUUGUGUACCACAAUUUUGAACCACCGAUUUCCAUAUCUUCAGCAGCUAUCAACUCGCCAAUUCCCUUUGGGUCUCCUUUGUAUAUUCUUAUGUUCCCUUCUGUUUCCAGUUGUCCUCAAAAAGAGUUGAGGGGGGCAUAACUCUUAUAAAAUGGAUAAAAAUGAAACUGUACAGAUGUUUGCCCCCCUUGUAUCUGUGAGCAUGAUCUCUAUCAGGCUUGAAAAUCUGCUUUAUCAUUUUGUAUAUUUGACUAUUUUGUAUUCAGCAUUACUUGACUCCUUAUGUGCAUGGCAAUGUAUUAAAAUGUGGGAUUUCUAUUACCG
Molecule: non-coding RNA, 9201 nt
Organism: Chlorocebus sabaeus (green monkey)
Lineage: Eukaryota; Metazoa; Chordata; Mammalia; Primates; Cercopithecidae
Source: RefSeq, a predicted model, not a curated record